RNAcentral lists this non-coding RNA (32 nucleotides) under unclassified sequences. The record is from RNAcentral.
CUAUGGCUUAUUAUAAGCUAUGGCGGAAGGAG